GUUAACGCCAGGAUCUUUCUUCACGUCCCAAUCACUAAAGACGUCCUGAUCCUGCACAAUAAACACAACAAACACCACAAGCUUGACGGCCGGACCGCCGGGGGAUAGCUCAGGCGUGAGAGUAAGUAUGUCUGUUCACGAGGUUAACUCAAGAGAAUGAUAAAAUCUAGUGUGAUGAGAUAGAUUAUUUAUUAUCAGUUGU
Molecule: long non-coding RNA, 202 nt
Filed under: Panax ginseng (ginseng)
Lineage: Eukaryota; Viridiplantae; Streptophyta; Magnoliopsida; Apiales; Araliaceae
Description: long non-coding RNA (PGIN_LNC004421)
Source: RNAcentral